GUCUGAAUUUUAAAGGAGGACGAUGGUGGGACGCUUCUCUCUGCAUGUGAUACGGUCCCAUCACGGUGUAAACGGCUGCAAACCACCACCACCUCCACUCCCCUCCACUUCACUUCUUCCUCCUCCUCCUCUCCUCUCUCUCUUCCUACGUGUGUUUUUGUGAGUGUGUGUGCAGACGAAUCGGAGAGCAGGAGGAAGCACCAAGGACGUCCUUUUUUCUUUUUUCUUUUUUUUUUUUUUCCCGAGCCCCUGGAGCCGGAGAUGCAAGGGACGAGCAGUCAUUAGCCCGCGCCGCUGCCGCCUGCUGCAGGAGAACUUCGCUGGUGUUGCAGCCUGAUCCCCGCUCUGUGAUCCCCGCUCACUGAGGUGGACCGUAACCUGUCUGACGGAGAUCUGGAAACGCAGGAUUCUACUUUUGUGCAAAAAUUUAAUGUAACAUCGAUCAGACAAGGAAGACAAGGAACCCAAAGCCAUCAUCAUGAAUUUCGUUAUGAAACAAGCGUUGGGAGGGGCCACUAAAGACAUGGGCAAAAUGCUUGGAGGAGAGGAGGAGAAGGACCCUGAUGCUCAGAA
Molecule: long non-coding RNA, 573 nt
Organism: Poecilia latipinna (sailfin molly)
Lineage: Eukaryota; Metazoa; Chordata; Actinopteri; Cyprinodontiformes; Poeciliidae
Exons: 4
Source: RefSeq, a predicted model, not a curated record